AAACUCUUCAAGCCUCGCUUGGUAUUGGGUGCCGGGACCUUCCCGCGCCUCGAUUUCGCCGGCUGACCUACUCCAACAACUCCAGCGUAGUAGUAUAAACCUUCGCUAGAGUGAUGGGGUGGCAGGGCCGUUCAAACCAUUAACAA
RNAcentral lists this unclassified non-coding RNA (146 nucleotides) under uncultured Ascomycota. Its description in RNAcentral is "sequence contains ITS2". Lineage: Eukaryota; Fungi; Ascomycota. The record is from RNAcentral.